This 259-nucleotide unclassified non-coding RNA is filed under the name uncultured fungus. RNAcentral's name for it is "partial contains small subunit ribosomal RNA, internal transcribed spacer 1, and 5.8S ribosomal RNA". The stretch from base 1 to 73 matches the Rfam family "Eukaryotic small subunit ribosomal RNA", at positions 1759 to 1831 of the family's 1831-position model. The record is from RNAcentral. Lineage: Eukaryota; Fungi.
UCAAACUUGGUCAUUUAGAGGAAGUAAAAGUCGUAACAAGGUUUCCGUAGGUGAACCUGCGGAAGGAUCAUUACAGGUUCCAGGUGCUCCGGCGCCUAACCUUCAACCCUUUGUCUUGUUAAAUCUGUUUCUUUGCCGGCUCCGGCCGGCAGAAGCCUUCUCAAACACUUGUUGAAUGUGUCUUCUGAAGUAAAAAAACAAAUAAAUUAAAACUUUCAACAACGGAUCUCUUGGUUCUGGCAUCGAUGAAGAACGCAGC